This 253-nucleotide ribosomal RNA is filed under the name uncultured bacterium. Its description in RNAcentral is "partial 16S ribosomal RNA". It matches the Rfam family "Bacterial small subunit ribosomal RNA", at positions 524 to 776 of the family's 1533-position model. The record is from RNAcentral.
UACGUAGGUGGCAAGCGUUGUCCGGAUUUACUGGGCGUAAAGAGCGCGCAGGCGGUCGUUCAAGUCGCGUGUGAAAGCCCCCGGCUCAACUGGGGAGGGUCACGCGAUACUGAUCGACUCGAAGGCAGGAGAGGGUAGUGGAAUUCCCGGUGUAGUGGUGAAAUGCGUAGAUAUCGGGAGGAACACCAGUGGCGAAGGCGGCACCCUGGGUCUGACCUGACGCUGAGACGCGACAGCAUGGGGAGCGAACGGG